RNAcentral lists this transfer RNA (65 nucleotides) under Ophiocreas oedipus. Its description in RNAcentral is "tRNA-Ala". The record is from RNAcentral. RNAcentral also lists the same sequence under 1 other name. Lineage: Eukaryota; Metazoa; Echinodermata; Ophiuroidea; Euryalida; Asteroschematidae.
AUAGGAGUAGUUAAAUAAUAACUUUGGAUUUGCGUUCUUGAAUUGGGAAAUUUUCUCCUUCUAUA